Molecule: long non-coding RNA, 909 nt
Organism: Bombyx mori (domestic silkworm)
Lineage: Eukaryota; Metazoa; Arthropoda; Insecta; Lepidoptera; Bombycidae
Exons: 2
Source: RefSeq, a predicted model, not a curated record
GGAUUUUCUUUCUCUUCAUAAAGAAAAAUAUUUUCAUUACGUACGUAUAUUUGAUCUGUCUAAAACAACAUCUAAGGUAAACGUCAUUUUGUUUCUUUACAGCUCUUGGGAAUGUUCUGUAAUAUUGCUUCAGAAUAAUUUGAUUGCCCGGAAUGAAAAUAAACAAAACGACAAGCAUUGACCACAUUCAGCAUCAAGACUACGGCACGAUCUAUUCAAAAACUGCUUUAAAAAAGGACACGGAAACUAUUCCAAUAGAGACAAACGUUUGCGAUGAUCAUUGUCAAGCACUUUACAUACUAAAGAAUUGGCAUAAUUUCGAAAAAAUACAAAAAGAAGCAAAAAUCAAGACUCAUUUAAUUAAGGUUCUGAAAACUAAGAUAAUUAAGAUGCUCAAAUCUUUGAACGUGGAAAAAAUACAAAAUGCUCCGCGGUUUAAUAUUACAGAGAGCGACAUACAAUUAUACAGACCAUCCAGCGUAAAAAUAAUGAAAAAACACCUGAUAAAAUAAUUUGUUAAUAAUAAAAAUAAAAUCGCUCGGGUCAAUAUUUCGCUUAAAACAACUUCUGACAUAGUAUUCAGGAAUAGGUUCCGAAAAAAAAAAACGAAUUUAAAAUUACACGUAAUUUAUUAGUAAAACUCCGCCACGCUUCCUUGUAAUCAUCGCUAAGCAAUUUAUAUGCUCAAUAAACUAAACACACACAGAAUCCGCUUUAGUUUUGUCAUACAUUGUUGCUGGUAUGCCAGGAACCUGACCUGAAAGUUCUAUAAAACUGCUUAAACCCCAACUGGAUCAAAUAAACGACAGGGGAACUCAUAGAAAACCAUCAAACGAAACUAUAAAUCUUCAUUUACGAGCUAUCGAUGAAAAAUUAAAUAAUUUAAUUAAAAAUUCUUUUACGAUACAA